RNAcentral lists this ribosomal RNA (253 nucleotides) under uncultured bacterium. RNAcentral's name for it is "partial 16S ribosomal RNA". It matches the Rfam family "Bacterial small subunit ribosomal RNA", at positions 524 to 776 of the family's 1533-position model. The record is from RNAcentral.
UACGGAGGUUGCAAGCGUUAAUCGGAAUUACUGGGCGUAAAGCGCACGCAGGCGGUCAUUUAAGUCAGAUGUGAAAGCCCCGGGCUUAACCUGGGAAGUGCAUUUCAGACUGGGAAUCUAGAGUACUUUAGGGAGGGGUAGAAUUCCACGUGUAGCGGUGAAAUGCGUAGAGAUGUGGAGGAAUACCGAAGGCGAAGGCAGCCCCUUGGGACGAUACUGACGCUCAUGUGCGAAAGCGUGGGGAGCAAACAGG